AAUGGCCAGCCUGACACCCCAGCCACAUUUUUACCCUCAGUUCGGAGGCUCGCCCUCCCGGACCUCGGAAAGGUCAACCUCACCCAGAGUGACGUGAAAACGGGCAUUCAGGGAGAGCCCCACCUUGCCCUGGCAGCUUGAGCUGGUGUGUGUUCUGAAGAGCAAGACAUUCCCACCCUCACCCUUUUAGCAGCCUUCCUCCCCCUGGGCCAAUUCCCAGAAGCGAGCCUGGGUCAGGCCUGGCACUAUCGUCAUACGGAUGAGGCAACUGAAGCACAGAGAAGGAAUUGCACAUCGCCACAAAACACAGAUAAUCAUCUCUCCGCAGCUCCCUGGGAGAAGGGUACAGUUGUCACCUGCCUGGACCCUCAGCCGCGGGUUGGGCCUUGGUCGCCUCUCCCCAGGACCAAGUGCUAGGAGAAUGUCCCACAAACCUCAUUCUACAACAACUCACUCCCUCACUAUUUUCACAGCUGCCAUAAAUGCACGCCCUCCCCCCCCCCAACACUCUCUCCAAUCUUCAAGUGCUCCAA
Jaculus jaculus (lesser Egyptian jerboa) is the source of this 533-nucleotide long non-coding RNA. RefSeq lists it as uncharacterized. Lineage: Eukaryota; Metazoa; Chordata; Mammalia; Rodentia; Dipodidae. The transcript has 3 exons. The record is from RefSeq and is a predicted model, not a curated record.